AAUAUUAGGUUGGCACAAAAGUAAUUGUGGUCUUUGCUAUUACUGUCACUGGUAAUUGACAUGCAAUUACUUUUGCACCAACUUAAUA
This 88-nucleotide microRNA precursor is filed under the name Chlorocebus sabaeus (green monkey). RNAcentral describes it as "miRNA (ENSCSAG00000025835.1)". Lineage: Eukaryota; Metazoa; Chordata; Mammalia; Primates; Cercopithecidae. The record is from RNAcentral.